Pistacia vera is the source of this 724-nucleotide long non-coding RNA. RefSeq lists it as uncharacterized. The record is from RefSeq and is a predicted model, not a curated record. NCBI's taxonomy places the organism in Eukaryota, Viridiplantae, Streptophyta, Magnoliopsida, Sapindales, Anacardiaceae. The transcript is spliced from 3 exons.
CUCUUCGGUUCUAAGUUCUGGCCGUUUCGACAACCUUCAUGAUCUCUAUAUCAAUAAUUGUUUGAUAAAAGAUUUGACAUGCCUCAGAUAUGCUACACGGCUUAGAUUUGUUUUUGCUGAAAAUUGUCCCUUACUUGUAGAAUUAAUUGCCAAUGAAUUGAGCUCUGCAUCAGGAGACCCCAACAUGUUUAAAAAUCUGAAGCUGUUGAAUUUUCGUGAUCUACCACUUUUAAAGAGCAUAUGUCGAGUCAUGCACUUCCCUUCCCUGGAGAGGAUAUGGGUAGUUAGAUGCCCAAGUCUAACAAAACUCCCACUUGACGUUUUCAACGAGAAUAACAGCAGAAUUUCGAUAGUGGGAGAUAAAAAGCGGUGGGAUAAGCUGGAAUGGGAGAAUUCGAGUUCAAAAGUUUCUUAUCCCUCUAUGCAUCAGACAGCACAGUCUUGUUCCUACAAUUUUCCACAUUUCACAGAAAGUAAGAGGCCGUCAUACACGGCAAGUUAUACUUAUGAAGCAACAAAGUUUGAAAGUGAAUCACAAUGCAGUAUCCUGUAAUUCAUAAAAUUGGAGGAUUUUCUAAAUCAGAUGCAGUUGGACUUGUGAACUACUCGACACUUUAUGAUACUCAUCGUUCUCUAUUAUUUGAGGGUUACGUGAAGAUUGGAUCAAUAAUCGUACCAAUUGCAAGUUUGGACUCGACUCACUCCUUAUUGUUCUUGUGUAGCU